CAGCCGCCGCGGUAAUACGUAGGUGGCAAGCGUUGUCCGGAAUUAUUGGGCGUAAAGGGCUCGCAGGCGGUUUCUUAAGUCUGAUGUGAAAGCCCCCGGCUCAACCGGGGAGGGUCAUUGGAAACUGGGAAACUUGAGUGCAGAAGAGGAGAGUGGAAUUCCACGUGUAGCGGUGAAAUGCGUAGAGAUGUGAGGAACACCAGUGGCGAAGGCGACUCUCUGGUCUGUAACUGACGCUGAGGAGCGAAAGCGUGGGGAGCGUACAGGAUUAGAUACCCGCGUAGUCCCUGUCUCUUAUACA
This 301-nucleotide ribosomal RNA is filed under the name uncultured bacterium. RNAcentral's name for it is "partial 16S ribosomal RNA". It matches the Rfam family "Bacterial small subunit ribosomal RNA", at positions 509 to 808 of the family's 1533-position model. The record is from RNAcentral.